GGUGGCAAACCAACUGGCGGUGAUAUGGUUAGGUGCGCCAGGCGUUAUCCCGGGAUUAUUGGGGGGAAAAACGCGCGUAAGCGGGUUUCAUAAAGUGUGAAUGGAAAAGGGCCAAAGAACCAGCGCAAAAAGGGUGCAUUGGAAAAUGGGGAAACUUGGAGGGGAGAAGAAGGAGAGUGGAAAUUCCCAGGUGUAGGCGGUGAAAUGCGCAGCAGAUAUGGAGGGAACACCAGUGGGCGAAGGCGGCUCUUUGGUCCUGUUACUGAAGCUGAUGUGCGGAAAGCGUGGGGAUCAAACAGGAAUUAGAAUACCCUGGUAGUCCACCCCGUAAACGAUGAGUGCUAAAUGUUAGGGGGUUUCCCCCCCUUAGUGCUGCAGCUAACGCAUUAAGCACUCCGCCUGGGGAGUACGACCGCAAGGGUGAAACUCAAAAGGAAUUGACGGGGACCCGCACAGCGGUGGAGCAUGUGGUUUAAUUCGAAGCAACGCGAAGAACCUUACCAAAUCUUGACAUCCUUUGACCGCUCUAGAGAUAGAGUCUUCCCCUUCGGGGGACAAAGUGACAGGUGGUGCAUGGUUGUCGUCAGCUCGUGUCGUGAGAUGUUGGGUUAAGUCCCGCAACGAGCGCAACCCUUAAGCUUAGUUGCCAUCAUUAAGUUGGGCACUCUAGGUUGACUGCCGGUGACAAACCGGAGGAAGGUGGGGAUGACGUCAAAUCAUCAUGCCCCUUAUGAUUUGGGCUACACACGUGCUACAAUGGAUAAUACAAAGGGCAGCGAAUCCGCGAGGCCAAGCAAAUCCCAUAAAAUUAUUCUCAGUUCGGAUUGUAGUCUGCAACUCGACUACAUGAAGCUGGAAUCGCUAGUAAUCGUAGAUUAGCUUGCUACGGUGAAUACGUUCCCGGGUCUUGUACACAAUGUCGUUCCCACGAGAGUUUGUAACACCCCAAAACCGGUGGAGUAACCUUUUAGGAGCUAGCCCGUCCAAAGGUGAAAACAAAUAUUUUCCUC
RNAcentral lists this ribosomal RNA (1010 nucleotides) under Mammaliicoccus sciuri. RNAcentral's name for it is "bacterial SSU rRNA". It matches the Rfam family "Bacterial small subunit ribosomal RNA", at positions 492 to 1482 of the family's 1533-position model. The record is from RNAcentral. Lineage: Bacteria; Bacillati; Bacillota; Bacilli; Caryophanales; Staphylococcaceae.